GCACUAGUAGUCUAAGGGUAAGAUCUAACAUUCCCAAUGUUAGGACCCGGGUUCGAGUCCCGGCUGGUGCA
Transfer RNA from Trichophyton interdigitale MR816, 71 nucleotides. It matches the Rfam family "tRNA". From Rfam's summary of the family: Transfer RNA (tRNA) molecules are approximately 80 nucleotides in length. The record is from Rfam. NCBI's taxonomy places the organism in Eukaryota, Fungi, Ascomycota, Eurotiomycetes, Onygenales, Arthrodermataceae.